UACAGAGGUCUCAAGCGUUGUUCGGAUUCAUUGGGCGUAAAGGGUGCGUAGGUGGCGGGGUAAGUCAGAUGUGAAAUCUCGGAGCUCAACUCCGAAACUGCAUUUGAUACUGCCUUGCUUGAGUACUGGAGAGGAGAUUGGAAUUUACGGUGUAGCAGUGAAAUGCGUAGAUAUCGGAGAAGACACCAGUGGCGAAGGCGG
Molecule: ribosomal RNA, 201 nt
Filed under: uncultured bacterium
Lineage: Bacteria
Description: partial 16S ribosomal RNA
Rfam family: Bacterial small subunit ribosomal RNA
Source: RNAcentral